Molecule: ribosomal RNA, 270 nt
Filed under: uncultured prokaryote
Description: partial 16S ribosomal RNA
Rfam family: Archaeal small subunit ribosomal RNA
Source: RNAcentral
UACUAGCGGUCCAAGUCGCAGCCAUCUUUAUUGGGUAUAAAACAUCCGUAGCUUGCUUAAUAAGUUCCUUGUGAAAUCCUAUGUCUCAAGCAUGGGGCGUGCAAGGAGUACUGUUGAGCUAGAGACUGGAAGGCGUAGGAAGUACGACUAAAGUAGCGGUAAAAUGCUUUAAUCUUGGUCGGACUCACAAUAGCGAAGGCAUCCUACGAGGACAGUUCUGACAGUAAGGGAUGAAAGCUAGGGUCGCGAAAGGGAUUAGAUACCCUCGUA